RNAcentral lists this ribosomal RNA (253 nucleotides) under uncultured bacterium. RNAcentral describes it as "partial 16S ribosomal RNA". It matches the Rfam family "Bacterial small subunit ribosomal RNA", at positions 524 to 776 of the family's 1533-position model. The record is from RNAcentral.
UACGAAGGGGGCUAGCGUUGUUCGGAAUUACUGGGCGUAAAGGGCGCGUAGGCGGCUGUGCAAGUCAGGCGUGAAAGCCCCGGGCUCAACCUGGGAACCGCGCUUGAGACUGGAGUACUAGAGUUCGGGAGAGGAUGGUGGAAUUCCCAGUGUAGAGGUGAAAUUCGUAGAUAUUGGGAAGAACACCGAUGGCGAAGGCAGCCAUCUGGACCGACACUGACGCUGAGGCGCGAAAGCGUGGGGAGCAAACAGG